Molecule: long non-coding RNA, 364 nt
Organism: Patiria miniata (bat star)
Lineage: Eukaryota; Metazoa; Echinodermata; Asteroidea; Valvatida; Asterinidae
Exons: 2
Source: RefSeq, a predicted model, not a curated record
CAAAGACCUUGUGUGGGUACAAGUACCACAUAAUCUUGCCACAUAAACAAUGGGCAGCCAUAUUUACUGACCAUGUGAUUUCAGAGACAAGUGUUUUCAUACUCAUUGCGAUUUAGUUCCUCAAGUUUCAUCACUUUAUUCACUCUUUGUGGACCUUGAAAGACCCCAUUUUGAUUGUUAUCUCAAUCUCAAUCUACUCAAUCUACUAUCAGCAAUCACCACCAUGUUGUCAAGUGGCUUCAUUGUGUUUUGUGUGUGGUUCCUGGAUUGAUUGCGAAUACCAGUCACUUGGGAGUCCUUUUCUCAUAAGUUUGAGAACUAGUAGUCCGAAACUCCUCUGGGCACAAGUGAGCCCCGAGGCAGC